CAGCGUAAAGGACACACGAGGGUAUUAACAAAAGUUCAAAGUCACAAGAUGCUAUAUGCGUGGAAUACGGUGUUGGGUGUAUUACUUCGAUCCCAGAAAUCGAAAUCAAAUUACUCGUUAUUUCAGCAGAGUGGAAUGACGCGUUGUUAUGAUAACCUAGAUUCGUCACCAGUAACGACUUUACAAAAGUUGC
Molecule: long non-coding RNA, 193 nt
Organism: Ceratitis capitata (Mediterranean fruit fly)
Lineage: Eukaryota; Metazoa; Arthropoda; Insecta; Diptera; Tephritidae
Exons: 3
Source: RefSeq, a predicted model, not a curated record